This 1124-nucleotide long non-coding RNA is filed under the name Calidris pugnax (ruff). RNAcentral describes it as "lncRNA (ENSCPUG00000015913.1)". Lineage: Eukaryota; Metazoa; Chordata; Aves; Charadriiformes; Scolopacidae. The record is from RNAcentral.
GGAAGAACUUGUUUGGUGUGAGGGUGGUGAGAGCCUGGCCCAGGUUGCCCCGAGAAGCUGUGGCUGCCCCAUCCCUGGAGGGGUUCAAGGCCAGGUUGGAGGGGGCUUGGAGCAACCUGGUGUGGUGGGAGGUGUCCCUGCCCAGGGCAGGGGGUGGCACUGGGGGGGCUUUGAGGUCCCUUCCCACCCAACCCAUUCAGUGAUUCUAUGAUUCCAGAAGGGACCAGCGUGGUGCUGGAUAAGGAAACAUGAUGGGACACCCCACGCAGGGUGAGGGUCUUGGUGGUGUGUCCCAGUCCCAGUGGGGGGUCCUGGUGCCGGGUUGGGGUCCCGGUGGAGGGAUGUGGAUCCCGGUGGCAGGUACGGGUCAUCACUGGAGGCCACGGAGAUGCUGGGAGGGCUGGAGCCCCUCUGCUGGGAGGACGGGCUGAGAGAGUUGGGGGGGUUCAGCCUGGAGAAGAGAAGGCUCCAGGGAGACCUUGGAGCCCCUUCCAGUCCCUCAAGGGGCUCCAGGAGAGAUGGGGAGGGACUCUGGAUCAGGGAGGGGAGCCAUAGGAGGAGGGGGAAGGGUUUGACACUGAAAGAGGGGAGAUGGAGCUGAGCUGUGGGGAAGAACUUGUUUGGUGUGAGGGUGGUGAGAGCCUGGCCCAGGUUGCCCCGAGAAGCUGUGGCUGCCCCAUCCCUGGAGGGGUUCAAGGCCAGGUUGGAGGGGGCUUGGAGCAACCUGGUGUGGUGGGAGGUGUCCCUGCCCAGGGCAGGGGGUGGCACUGGGGGGGCUUUGAGGUCCCUUCCCACCCAACCCAUUCAGUGAUUCUAUGAUUCCAGAAGGGACCAGCGUGGUGCUGGAUAAGGAAACAUGAUGGGACACCCCACGCAGGGUGAGGGUCUUGGUGGUGUGUCCCAGUCCCAGUGGGGGGUCCUGGUGCCGGGUUGGGGUCCCGGUGGAGGCAUGUGGGUCCUGGUGGUGGGUGUGGGUCUUGGUGGUGUGUCCCAAUCCCAGUGGGGGGUCCUGGUGCCGGGUUGGAGUCCCGGUGGCGGGUGCGGGUCUCAGUGGUGUGUCCCGGGGGGGGGGUCCCGGUGGGGGGGUCCUGCUGCCCAGUUGAGGUCCCGGUGGCGGGUGCGGG